Molecule: unclassified non-coding RNA, 783 nt
Filed under: Hevea brasiliensis (rubber tree)
Lineage: Eukaryota; Viridiplantae; Streptophyta; Magnoliopsida; Malpighiales; Euphorbiaceae
Source: RNAcentral
CUAGUCUCUUUUGAGAUUGCAUUGUGUGGAAGAAGAAAAGCCAAGUAAAUUGUUGAGGAAAAAAUAAGAAAAAAAAAUCUCUAACCAUACGCCACAACAGCCUCACUCUACCUCCCCCAAUUCAUUCUUUCUCCUCGCAUACUGACAGACGCAGCCUCCAUUUCAUUUUUCAGUCUUGGUCUCAACAUCUCUCUUUCUUGCUCUCCUCGUGGCCGUCCUCUCGUCUGCUUCUUGCCUUUCACGUCAGCUCGUCGCCUUCCUCAUCAGCUCGUCGUCCAUGUACUUGUCCUCGUCGAUUAUGUCUCAGAGACCCAAAUUCACUAUCGAUCCGGCCUCUGGCUUAUAGUUAGUGUCGGCUUGCACUUUGCGACGAAAACAGAUCGACUUUGCAACAAAUAUUAGACUUCCUUCUCCUUGCAUGUUGGCCUGUUGGGUUUUGAAUUUUUUGUUCAUUCUGUUCAUUAUUAGAUUGUUUAGUUUGUUGCUUGUUAAUUGAUAUGAAAGUGUCUCUGAAUUGCUGUGAAAGUGUAACUUUAGGGAGAGUAGGAAAUUUUGUGAUUUUUCUGACAUAGAGUGUUUGGUUAGAGAGAAACGGAGAGAAAAAAAAUUGAAAACCGAAAUUAAAAUCUAGAAGAACGUGUGGCGGAAAUUGAAUUUAGAAAAAAUUAAAUAAAAAAUUAAAUUUCAUAUUAGUUGUGACCCACUUGAAAACGAUAUAAUCGUAACUUCAACUAUUUUUAAUGAAUUAAAAAAAUUUUAAAAAUUAUAAUUUAUAAAAUUCCA